Molecule: ribosomal RNA, 697 nt
Filed under: uncultured bacterium
Lineage: Bacteria
Description: bacterial SSU rRNA
Rfam family: Bacterial small subunit ribosomal RNA
Source: RNAcentral
CCUACCUUUAACUCUGGGAUAGCCCGAAGAAAUUCGGAUUAAUUACCGGAUAAUAUCAAGAUAUGACAUCACAGCUUGAUUAAAGGCGCGAGUUGGUUAAAGAUGGGCAUGCGUCCCAUUAGUUAGUUGGGGAGGUAACGGCUCACCAAGGCGAUGAUGGGUAGGGGCUCUGAGAGGAUUACCCCCCACAUUGGUACUGAGACAGGGACCAAACUCCUACGGGAGGCAGCAGUGAGGAAUAUUGGGCAAUGGACGGAAGUCUGACCCAGCCAUGCCGCGUGCAGGAAGACGGCCUUAUGGGUUGUAAACUGCUUUUAUGUAGGGAAAAAGUUCAUAUUGCGAUAUGAUUUGAUGGUACUACAGGAAUAAGAAUCGGCUAACUCCGUGCCAGCAGCCGCGGUAAUACGGAGGAUUCGAGCGUUAUCCGGAUUUAUUGGGUUUAAAGGGUGCGCAGGCGGACUAUUAAGUCAGUGGUGAAAUUUUCCGGCUCAACCGGGACAGUGCCAUUGAUACUGAUAGACUAGAGUAUAAUUGACGUAUGUGGAAUGUAGCAUGUAGCGGUGAAAUGCAUAGAGAUGCUACAGAACACCGAUAGCGAAGGCAGCAUACGAAGCUAUAACUGACGCUCAUGCACGAAAGCGUGGGGAUCAAACAGGAUUAGAUACCCUGGUAGUCCACGCAGUAAACGAUGAUAACU